This 465-nucleotide ribosomal RNA is filed under the name uncultured bacterium. Its description in RNAcentral is "bacterial SSU rRNA". It matches the Rfam family "Bacterial small subunit ribosomal RNA", at positions 329 to 794 of the family's 1533-position model. The record is from RNAcentral.
CACCAGACUCCUACGGGAGGCAGCAGUGGGGAAUAUUGCACAAUGGGGGAAACCCUGAUGCAGCGACGCCGCGUGAGUGAAGAAGUAUUUCGGUACGUAAAGCUCUAUCAGCAGGGAAGAAAGAAAGUCCUUUGGACUUUGGACGGUACCUGACCAAGAAGCCCCGGCUAACUACGUGCCAGCAGCCGCGGUAAUACGUAGGGGGCAAGCGUUAUCCGGAUUUACUGGGUGUAAAGGGAGCGUAGACGGCAGCGCAAGUCUGGAGUGAAAGCCCGGGGCCCAACCCCGGGACUGCUCUGGAAACUGCGUCGCUGGAGUACGGGGGGGGCAGGCGGAAUUCCUGGUGUAGCGGUGAAAUGCGUAGAUAUUAGGAGGAACACCAGUGGCGAAGGCGGCCUGCUGGACUGCAACUGACGUUGAGGCUCGAAGGCGUGGGGAGCAAACAGGAUUAGAUACCCCUGGACU